RNAcentral lists this long non-coding RNA (3117 nucleotides) under Sorghum bicolor (sorghum). RNAcentral's name for it is "long non-coding RNA (SBIC_LNC017328)". Lineage: Eukaryota; Viridiplantae; Streptophyta; Magnoliopsida; Poales; Poaceae. The record is from RNAcentral.
UAUAAAUGCUGUCAUGCUACCUUUGUCUAUUUACUAGCAAAUGUUGGUUUGGAAGUACUCGCCAUACUUCCAUUGGCUUUUAAAUUAAGCAUGGUGCUUAGGUUAAGCAGCCUUCCUUAAUCUGAUUAGACAUGGAGUCUAGUUUGGUUAUUGAACUAAAAAAACUGCUUGAGUAGAUAUUGGUAUAUUUUGUCGGACUAACCCCUGCAGAAAAACUUUCAAUAUCAAUUUGGGAAGUCCUGAGAUAAACUCACAUCAGAGACGAAGAGAGUGACACAUGAUGUUUAACAAUUUGCACAAGAAGGACAUAGCUCAUUCAUCAUAGAGAGAUGAUCCAUGGAGGGUGCCACAACCACGAUGCACAACCGCUAAGAAGGGAAAGCUUCUACAAGGUGAUACUGUACCAUCACUCUUCAAGCAAGGUAACAUCUUAUGGUACUUGACUAUCACUUUUAUAAGCUUCUCCUUGGUUCAUACAAACAUGUAUGAUUUACAACUCUAGAUUAACCAACCUAACUGAGUCAACAUGUUUAGUCCUUUAAUCCUUGUUCUUAGUACUACUUCCAUGAUCCCACACUCCUAAUCAUAUGAGCUAAAAUGUUACACAUUCAAUCAUUGAGAGAUAUAAAGAAAAAGACAUAUACAUAGAUAGAUUAUCUUUCCAUAAGGUUGAGCGAUCUGAUCUGACAAAUGUUAUAAGUGCUACACUCAUGAACUUAUCAUCCAUCAACUUGUCUUGCUCACUAUGCUUAAGGUUAGAGAAGAACAAAUACACUUUUGGUUCUGUUGGUGUUUUCCACCAACAGGGCCCAUGCACUUGACCUCUGCCUUGUCUCUAUGAGCAGGUACACUACGAGCACAAACACACUAAGCAAGAUACUGCUAACACCUCACUUCGAACUGCUGGGCAAACGAAGAACAUGGGUGACACCGUAUUAAAAGGUGCAGACGUCAAGGUCCGCACCUGAAUCAAAUGACGCACCUGAAGAAUGAACAUGGUGAGAAGUCUUGUCAAGAAGACUUAAAACAUUGAACCCUCGCCGAAAGGUAAGAUUGGUAGUUAUCCAUAUUUAUCCUUUCUGCAUUCUCGUUUCCCUUUAAUUAUUUACUUUCCUUAAAUAGAUUAUUAGUUAAUCAUGCUAUCUUGAAAAGAAAAUAAAAAUGUUAAAAAAUACUAAGCCCCAUGUGAGUAUACGAGUGGCAUAAAACCAUAAGUACCUUCACUGUGGUAGCAUAAAAAUAAAAUAAAUAUUUCUUUUCUACUUUAUAAAAUAAAAAUAUAAAAACAGGGAGUAAUAUUUAUUGAGGAAGCUCAACGUGAUGAAGGCUAAAUUUUAUGCUAACACUUAAUUAGUUCCACAAGCUUUGUUGUCUAUUUGAGCUCCACAGAAUUUAAGAAUCAAGAACACUAGCAGACGGAGGACAUUCUAAUCGCUGUCAGAAUGCUGCUGACUUUCAAAUACACCUCUGCCACCUGCUAGCUACAUCAAGAGAAAUUACGUCAAAAUUCAGCUUGGGGGAGAGCACCCCCAUUUAUCUCGCUAAGUAUUUCUACCUAUCUUUAUACUUAUAUUAUAUUAGAAUAUUAAAAUACAUAAACUAUGAAAAACCAAAUAAAGAUUUUGUGCUUAUAUAUAUAUCUUUUGCUUAGUGUGUUUAAUAAAUAAAUAAAGUGGCUAUGCUAAUCUGAAUCUUAAUAAUAAAACUCUAGCAUGGAUAUGAUGAAUAGUUGCUCUGCCAAAUUUGCAAAUUUGAAGUUCUCUCUCAAGUUUAGACAUAACUGUUAUAAUUUAAAGCUUGCUCUAGAUCUAAACUUGUGGGAUGAAAACUUGAUCUGAAAUCUAAGUUGUUAACGGAUAUGAUAUGGGAAGGUUGAGCUGCUGUUUAUCUAUUCCUAGAGAUGCUAGAAUUAUGGAGAAUUUUAUCUUUGAAAAAUCUUUAAAAUGUUGCAUGAUGAGUUCCUGUAUGAUGAAAGUUUAAAUUCCUACCACAGCCAUAUAUACAUGCUUGCUAGACUUUGAGCCACACAUUUAUUAUUUACUGCUUAUGAGCAUUGAGUGUGGUCAAGCUGUGUAGACCCUUAGGAGCUUGUCAUGUGGUUAAAUCAAGAUUCACUUGCACGUUCACUCAUAUAUAUGCUACUUCUACUCCGGAAGUACCAUCCACAUAUAUCCAUCCAUUUCCAUCUCCAGAAUCACCUAAAAAUAUUCUACUCCUAAUUCGGGAGAGAAUAGCCAAAAACAUCUGUGUUUUUCCCUUGUGAAAUAAAUGCUCAAGUUAUCUUGCUACUACCACUUGCUAUAUUAUCUCAAGAGAUGAGUGCUCUAAAAAAAAGAAGAAGAAAAAAAAAAGAAAAGAAAAAAAUAAACGAGGAAAUAAAAAGGGGCAAGUGCCCGGAACCUCGAAAGAAAAGAAAAAGAGUGAGACGAGAGGUAAAAAUGGACAAGUGUCCGACAGUAGAAUUAGGGGUACAGGAUACCCAUCUGAGAGAAAAGAAAAAGAAGAGCAUCUCAUUCUCCUCAUAAAGUUUCAAAAAGCAAGGAAGGUAUGUAUCCCCUCAUAAGAGCAAAAGUAGAAUUAGACUUUCACCAUUGUUAUCACCAUCAUCACCAUACACCAUUCAUUCACCACACAUGCACAUCUUGAUUUGGCUUAUUGAUUAGUUUCUUUGGAUCCAUGGUUUGACUAUACAAUAAAUGUCUUGUAAGUAUGUAUAUUUUAUCUCCCACCUAUGAGCUCCAGAUAUUAAAGCCUUAUUAGAGUAGGGUGAGAGAGAAGACAAUGUCACUAUCCCUUAUACCACAAAUACCACAUAUUUUGAGAGAAGGCAUAUACCAUCACUGCCUUGGUAAGGAUCCAGAAAUACCACAAAAGAGAGAUAUGAGAGAGUCAUACAAAGGAAUCUCUGAGUUUUAUUUGAAAAUCUGCAAAAACUCCAGAGCUAUAGCUGAUCAAGAAUAAGCGACAUGACACUUGACUGGACUGUUCUAUCUUUUAACCACUCAAGACAGAAGUGACGGUUACAAGUCCCAUGGUGAAAGGUAAAGUAAGUAAGUUUCAAGUCUUGACAGUUUACUCUAACUCAGAGAUGAGACCUCAUUUAAAAGCAUGUGUACC